CCUACGGUGUGCAGCAGUGAGGAAUAUUGGUCAAUGGCCGGAAGGCUGAACCAGCCAAGCCGCGGGAAGGACGAAGGUGCCAAGCAUUGUAAACUUCUUUUGUCAAGGGACAAAAUCAGGCUCGAGAGCCUGACCGAGGGUACUUGAAGAAAAAGCAGCGGCUAACACCGUGCCAGCAGCCGCGGUAAUAGGGAGGAUGCGAGCGUGAUCCGGUUUUAUGGGGUUUAAAGGGUGCGUAGGCGGGCUGUUAAGUCAGCGGUAACAGCCCGGGGCUCAACCCCGGCGAGCCGUUGAAACUGGCUGUCUUGAGAUGUCGAGAGGUAUGCGGAAUGCGCAGUGUAGCGGUGAAAUGCUUAGAUAUUGCGCAGAACUCCGAUUGCGAAGGCAGCAUACCGGCGGCGAUCUGACGCUGAGGCACGAAAGCGUGGGUAUCGAACAGGAUUAGAUACCCGAGUAGUC
This 459-nucleotide ribosomal RNA is filed under the name uncultured bacterium. Its description in RNAcentral is "partial 16S ribosomal RNA". It matches the Rfam family "Bacterial small subunit ribosomal RNA", at positions 338 to 795 of the family's 1533-position model. The record is from RNAcentral.